Oncorhynchus nerka (sockeye salmon) is the source of this 1223-nucleotide long non-coding RNA. RefSeq lists it as uncharacterized. The transcript is spliced from 5 exons. NCBI's taxonomy places the organism in Eukaryota, Metazoa, Chordata, Actinopteri, Salmoniformes, Salmonidae. The record is from RefSeq and is a predicted model, not a curated record.
GGAAGGAGAAACACAUAUUACACCCUGCAUUGUUUGGUAAACGCGCAGAUUCAGCUGUUUAUAUAUCAAUCAGUAUGGCGACUAAGUCAGGGAAAGCUAAAUGUAAGUCUAGAUAUACAGAUGUACACACAAUUUUAGAAGAAAUUGAUUGGGAAAGUGAGACAGAGAUUCUUGUAGGACGAUUAAUUUAGUGAUUGUGGAGGAAUAUAUUUUGAAUGGGAGAGGACAUCGUUUUGGACUGGCUAUGAAAAAUACAAAAGACAGGACAUUGAGUGUUGAACUCUACAGCCACCCUGUGCCGUGACGGCUGAUUUCCUCCUCUUCGUCUGAAGAGGAGGAAGAGGUGUAGCAGGGAUCGGACCAACAUGCAGCGUGGCCAAAGGCUUUGAGUGGAGUUACCUGGGGAAGGUCCACGGUUCAUAAACAGUCUCUGCUGCACCUGUUCCUUAGUGGUAGACAACUACCUGCUGACCUUUACUCUGAGAUAGGAGCUAUCACACGCUCUGCCAAGCCUACGGCGUGAGGGAGAUCAGUGUCCACCGGUUCAGUAAGAACCGACCACCGUGAACCCAACAAGACCCUGCGACAAGAUGAUCAUGGACGUCAACGCACCCGUCAACAGGUACAACAGGCAUGAACAUCCCCGCAGCGGUGGAGUCUCCGAGGUCAGAGGUCAGAUGAGGCUGAUGAGAUCACGGAUCACAUCGUGAGGUCAGCCACUCAGGGCACAAGUCAGAGGGCAGUGCCCCGGGAGAGGAGGAGGUCACGAGCCUACAGCCAAUCACGUAGGUCUUCACUCACUCACAGCCAAUCACAUUUGGUCACACCAGGAACCACUUUUACGCCAGCCCAGCUCUAACGCAUUGGGUUAAUCUAAUCAAGGGUUGGGUUUUGGAAAAGGGUGUAGUGCUGGGCGGAAACAAAAGCAUGUUCACUCUGUAACUUUCCAGGUUUAAAACCCAGAAAUCAGGUUUAGUCAUGAGAAUACAUGAGAAUACAUGAGAAAACUACUGACUUUAAAGAGCAGACCAGUGAAUACUCAUGAUGCCUUUCUCUCUCUCGUGUGUGUGUGUGUGUGUGUGUGUGUGUGUGUGUGUGUGUGGUGAGGCGGACUCUAAAAAGCGGUCUAACUCCAUGGAUUCGCUGACGCCCCCAUGAAGCGCCAUGGAAACGCACCAUGGAAACGCCUUCGUGACUCCAUGUCACGCUUCUGCCUUCACCCC